GGGGGUGUAGCUCAGUGGUAGAGCGCUUGCUUAGCAUGUGAGAAGCAUUGGGUUUAAUCCCUGGUUACCCCCA
RNAcentral lists this transfer RNA (73 nucleotides) under Heterocephalus glaber (naked mole-rat). It matches the Rfam family "tRNA". From Rfam's summary of the family: Transfer RNA (tRNA) molecules are approximately 80 nucleotides in length. Their secondary structure includes four short double-helical elements and three loops (D, anti-codon, and T loops). Further hydrogen bonds mediate the characteristic L-shaped molecular structure. tRNAs have two regions of fundamental functional importance: the anti-codon, which is responsible for specific mRNA codon recognition, and the 3' end, to which the tRNAs corresponding amino acid is attached (by aminoacyl-tRNA synthetases). tRNAs cope with the degeneracy of the genetic code in two manners: having more than one tRNA (with a specific anti-codon) for a particular amino acid; and 'wobble' base-pairing, i.e. permitting non-standard base-pairing at the 3rd anti-codon position. Lineage: Eukaryota; Metazoa; Chordata; Mammalia; Rodentia; Bathyergidae. The record is from Rfam by way of RNAcentral.